RNAcentral lists this ribosomal RNA (253 nucleotides) under uncultured bacterium. Its description in RNAcentral is "partial 16S ribosomal RNA". It matches the Rfam family "Bacterial small subunit ribosomal RNA", at positions 524 to 776 of the family's 1533-position model. The record is from RNAcentral.
UACGGGGGGGGCAAGCGUUGUUCGGAAUUACUGGGCGUAAAGGGCUCGUAGGUGGCCAACUAAGUCAGACGUGAAAUCCCUCGGCUUAACCGGGGAACUGCGUCUGAUACUGGAUGGCUUGAGGUUGGGAGAGGGAUGCGGAAUUCCAGGUGUAGCGGUGAAAUGCGUAGAUAUCUGGAGGAACACCGGUGGCGAAGGCGGCAUCCUGGACCAAUACUGACACUGAGGAGCGAAAGCCAGGGGAGCAAACGGG